Molecule: long non-coding RNA, 2976 nt
Organism: Podarcis muralis (Common wall lizard)
Lineage: Eukaryota; Metazoa; Chordata; Lepidosauria; Squamata; Lacertidae
Source: Ensembl
AUGACGAGUGAGACCUCGUCGAAACGUCGCCUAGACACCCCAACUUUUACACGGGAAGACACCCGAGGACACCAAAACCUGCAUUCCUGUACCCGUGAAAAUCUACGAAAGCAAAUAUCUCACCUCUACGGGGAGGAAACCUUCCAGCUGACAAGAACCUACGAGAAACUAGAAAUCCGAAGAGCCACCAUCUUAUGUGAUCUCUUGUUCCUACGCAACUGCCGAGACAACAACUUAAUUCCCACAUGCUUCCAACUUAAAUUCCACUCUAAAACCCCAGCUACCGAAAGGAUCCUGAAACGAACUGAACUAUCCCUAAUCAGAAACGAACUACAUAAGAAAAGAUACCUACUAAACCAAACCAACAAAGAUCUGCUCACUCUUCACCUCAAACUCUGUAACAAAAUCCACCCUGCACUCUGGGACAAAUGCAAACAACUAGCCGUCUGGAGAGCUGAAACUGAGACCUCACAUAAGACAGACACACACACCAACAAACUCCACAAACUAGAGAAACGCCAGAAGCCCAGCCACCCUCCACAACAACCCAUGAAACAAACAGUACAUAACAUAUCAGACAGGAUCCUCACCUCAACUGAAACCAAAGUACUCUCCAAAGGUUUCAACUUUGCAGUCGCCCCGAGACGCAUCCCCACGGAAAACAUCAUAUGCGGAGUCGAAGCUAGCCUAACCAAAAUCAACCCAGAUGAAGCCAAUAAAAUCAGACUUGAAGUCACCAACAUCCUCUGCUCCAGCAAACCACCCAGAAGCAAUUUACACAAAGAAGAACAGAAAGCACUCACCAACCUGAGGAAAGACAACAACAUAAUCAUUCUCCCAGCAGACAAAGGUAAUGCCACUGUUGUGAUGAACACAUCGGACUACCAAGCAAAACUAUCAAAUCUACUCCAAGACCCUACCUACCAACCUAUAAAAACAGAUCCCACCACCUAUCUGGAAAAAACCACCAAAUCCAAAAUAAAAGCCUCUCCUAUCAGUGAAGAAAUCCAGCUAAGAAUCAUCCCCAGAGAAAAAUCAUCCAGAUGCCCCAAACUCUACGGCCUCCCCAAGAUACACAAAGAAGGAACACCACUCAGACCAAUAGUCAGCUCCAUAGGCUCACCUCUACAAAAUCUCGCUAAAUUUCUCGCUAAGCAACUUCAGCCCUAUGCAGAAUCCAUCUCUUCACACGUUACAAACUCCUUCCAGUUCAUAGAAACAAUAAAGAAGCAAAACCUACAUCCCAAUGACCUACUUGUGAGCUUCGAUGUUGUAUCUCUCUUCACACAAGUGCCCAUUAAUGAAGCCUUGACAGCCAUUCAAAACAAAUACAAUCCCCCCGAAUACAUCCUGGACCUGACCAACCACUGCCUAACCAACACGUACUUCAUCCACAAUGGACAAAGAUACAAACAGAUAGAAGGAGCACCUAUGGGAUCACCACUCUCACCGGUCAUCGCAAACCUGUACAUGGAACACUUUGAAACCAAUGCUUUAGACAAGUCAGAACACAAACCCAAACUUUGGCUCAGAUAUGUUGACGACACCUUUGUAAUUUGGCCACACGGGAAGGAAAAACUAGAUAGCUUCCUCACACAUCUCAACAGCCUACACCCCAAAAUACAAUUCACUAUGGAAAUAGAAGCCAACAACCAACUUCCCUUCCUUGACGUCCUAAUCUACAAAAAACCUGAUGGCUCCCUAGGACACACUAUCUACCGGAAAAAAACACACACCAACCGCUACUUACAUGCACAAUCACACCACCACCCUGCACAAAUAAACUCCGUAGCCAAGACUCUCAUCUCCAGAACCAAACGCCUGGCUGACAAAGACCACUUGACAACUGAGUUACAGAAUCUCUCCAAUGUGUUAAUCGCCAAUGGAUACCAGCAAAACAGGGUUACGAAGCUAAUGCAAAAAGAAACACCCCCCAAAAACCAAGACACAGAAGAAAACAAUGGCAUGGCCCUCCUUCCUUAUAUCAAGGGCACUACAGAUAAAAUUAGCAAAAUCCUCCAUAAACACAAUAUCAAAACAGCCUUUUGCACCAACCAAAAAAUAGCCAAUAUCCUCAGAAACCCCAAGGAUAAAAUCCAGUUGGAAAACCAAGGGGUCUAUGAAAUACCCUGCAAAGUCUGCCCAGCCACGUACAUUGGACAAACAAACAGACGAAUAAAUGCACGUAUCGCAGAACACAAGAAUGCCGUCAAAAAAGAAGAAAAAACUUCCUCUCUUUUCCAACACAUGAAAGAAACAGGACACGAAAUUAAUUUUGCAGAUUCCAAAUUGCUCUCUAACAUGGAACAUCACCACAAGAGAAUAAUCAUGGAAGCCAUCGAGAUAGAGAAACACCCUCACAACAUGAACAAGCGUGACGACACAUCCCGCCUGCCAGACAUCUGGAAAUUAGCCCUCCCCACAAAAACCGACACCAGAUCCAGAGGCACACAGAACGCCAUCACCAAUCAACCACACCAGACCCAAACCCAGACCCUCUCCACAGAUAAAUUACAGACACCAUCCAGUAGCCAAACCAUGGUGGCACCUCCGGAUGCUGCACCCCCCUGCAAUCCCUACACAGAUCUGGCUGGCACAGGACACAAAACCACAGCUCGCCCCUAUACACGAAGCCAAGCCAGAGCACAACUAAGUGCAGUACAGCCAUCUUCUCAGAAAAACUCUUCACAAAGUUCAAGAGGUCAAGACACGAAGGCUUUAGCAACUAAUCCACACCUAAUGACCCACCUAAGUGGUACUCAGGAUAUCACUCAAGAAAUCACUCAAGAUAUCCCUCAAGUAAUUAAGGAACAAAAGAAGAAAAGGCACACUAGCCUGGGAACUUCCUCUCUGCCCAGAACAUUGGAGGCUAUACACCACACCCCCUCAACAGUAUUUAUAGGAACUCAAACACUGAGAUCCUGCUCUGUUCCAGUAACAAGAAGCCGAAAGCACCAGCCUGAAGAUGACGAGUGA